CCCCCCCUUCCUUGUUUUAGACCCGGGUGUCCACGGUCCCCGGUCAGAGGGACUCGAGCUCCAGAGACUGAAGAGUAUCCCGCCUCCUACCCAGCCUUCACCCUGCGCCCUGCCCUCUCCGCCUCCCCGUGGGGAAGGGUCCGCUGGAGUCGGGGGGAGGGAGCUCCGCGCGGAGCCGGGUCGGGUCGGCCAGCCUAGCAAUUUUCUACCACGAACCUAACGAGCUAUCGAUAUGUAUAUGUAUGUAUGUAUGUAUGAAGUGUACAUGUAUAGCACCUAGCGCCUGUAUAGCCAUGUAGAUACUGACAAAAACAGACACUCGCUGUAGUUCUAACCCAACAGUGCCUGGCAGCCCAGGCCAUAGUGUACAUAGGGCCCCAGGCCCCACGCCCAGCUUUGUACAGCCCCCCUUCCCCAGAGCCGAUGGCCCCAGGGCAGCGCCCCUCCCCGGCCUCAGGGCAGGGAGAGAGCAGAGUUACCUCCACCCACAUCUCAGCAGGGACCCCCUACCUAACCCUCACCCCUCACUCCCCCCGUCACUAGUGGAAAGCCCUCUCUUCGGGGAGUCAGAUAAUGUGGGUCUCAAUCCCGGCUCUGCCAGUGACUUCCUGAAGGAAGGGGAGGGGGUCCCUCCUUUCCCCUCCCCAAAUGAGGGGAUGGACUAGAUGAUCCCAAGGGUCUUCCCAGCUCCCAAAUUCUAAGAUUCUUCUCUCAAGGCCCUCUCUGCCCCAGUUGUAUGGUGGGGAGUUGUUAUUGCCUGGGGACAGGGCUUCCAGCUGGAUGGGCUUCAGUGUCCUGCCUUGCUCCCCAGCAGCCCCGUCUGCCUGCCUCAAUGAGGCAGAAACCCCCCAGCUAAAAGCACAGUGCCUCCCUGAGAGUGGAGGAAUGGACAAAAAGCUGGAGGUCUGAGUGAGCUCUUCCACAGUCAGGCCUUAAGGUCAGGGUUCCAGAGGGUUUCCUGCCCUGCCGGGUCCUAAAUCCCAAGGAGCACUAGGUUGGAUCUGUUCGGGGCUAGUGGUGCUGGGAAGAGUCCUGCUGUUACCCAGAAGCCAAGGAUGGAUUCUGAGGGACACAAAAUUCCCCCUGGCCGGUGGCUCCUCUCAAACAGCUUCCUUUCAAUUCUUCACGUCACCUGUUUGCCCUCUGGGCUAGGUACUAGGGGAAGUCACCCCGUCCUCAGGAAACUCAGUGAUGAAACCCAGAAAACUGGUGAUAAAGGGCAAGGAGAGGGGUGAAAGUAGUAGCUGGGGGAAGGGUCCUGGGAGAAGAGGUCAUUGUAGACUAGAAGGCUUCCAAAGGAAAGUGGGAGAGGCGGGGGCUUCAACUGGCCAGUGAAAAGUGAGGUUGGGAGUGAGAAAGGGGGUUCCACAUGUGGCAGAACGGGCAACGGUGCAGUUAGGGAACCAUGAGGAAACCUAACGGGGUGAGCUUUGGAGAACCCCUGGACAAAAGCAUGGAUACACAGGGUGGGCUUGGAAGUGUGGGGAGCUUCGAUGGCCACCCCGGGCAAUCUGUUCUUGAGUCUAAAUCCUGGGUCGUAGAAGGUUAGAACGAGAAGGAAAUCUGGCCAGCGUUCUAGUCCAAUCCUCUUCAUUUAACGGAUGAGGAAACAGAGGCGACUGGCCCAAAGUCGUUCAAAGAACUAAUUAGCGGAAGAAUCCAGAUCAGGUGUAGAAUUUGGGUUUCUUGAUUCACUGUCCCAAAGGCAAUGGAGAGCCCCCAUAGGUUCUGGAGCAGGAGAGGAUAUGAUGGAAAUAGUACAGACCUCCUUGCCCACCUCCAGUCUUGUGUCUUCCCAAGAAGGAGCCCGAGUGACUGCUCCAGACUGCUGGAAGCCGCUCUUCCCCCUGCCAUGGCUCCCUGCCUCCCACUCUGAGGGAACCAGGUCGGGGGUCCCGAUCUCUGUCCCUGGUGCAGCUGGGGGGGAGACUGUAGGUGCUAAUCAAUGACUGACUGAUUGUGGGAGAAGAUCACCAGUGCUUGGGGAGGCAUUUGCCGCUCUCCGGUCCGCGCUAAGGUGAGUUUGUGAAGCAGCCUUUCUGAGAGAGAUGGCCCAAGACCUCCUACCUUAUUAAGGUUCCUUAUUCAGCCUCACCCUGAAAGAGAUCCGGACCAAGGGAUUCUGGGUAAGUGAACUUGAACGUUUUAGUCAAGACUAUGAAGGAAAGAAUGGGAGCCCAGACCGGGAUGGAGGCUGGAAGACCUGGGAGAGAUUAAGGCAGCCUGGGAGCACCGGAAUGACUGGAGACUAUCUCAGAAGAAAGUCAGGCUAGAUCAAAAUCCGACGGAGAGCUUGGCUUCCUAGCCUGAGUUAGAGGGGGUUUGGAGAGGGGCUGGUCAACAAGGCUUCUCCCCCCCCCCAUGGUAAUGAGCGCCUCUAAAGUGGGGGCAUCCCCAGAAUCCCGGGGAUCCUUGUGGGGGAGCGACCAGGGAAGAAACACCGGAGGAUGAUGGGAUGGGUGGAAGGGGCCCCCAACCUCUCUUAAGGCCUUUAGCCCCAUCCCCAACAAUAACUUGCUGGGCUGAGGGGCCUAGUGAGGGAGGGAGUGUCCAUUGGCUCAGCUGGCCUGGAGGGGAGGGAAGGAGAGGUCAGCUGGCUGCUGGGAGGCUCUUGGGGGGCGGGGGGAUCAGUCACAGCGGGGCUCAGCCCAACCCAAAGAUCGUUGUUCUGGAAAGCCUCCCCCUCCCCCCGGACCCUCCAGGCCCCAGGCCCCAGGGCCAGGCCGGAUGGAAAGAAUCUAAUUGACUGAUUUGCUGUAUGGUCAGGGACCCUUCCAUGAAAAAAAAAAAAAAGUUUGCGGGGUGUGUGAUCCCUGCCCCCCGGCACUGAAGGCUUGGCCGUGGCUGAGAGCUUAGCGGAUUUCUGCCUGGCUGGGGAGGGGGCAGAGUUAGGGGGCGCCCAGGCCGGGCGGGAGGGGCUCCCGGGCCGGAGGAGAAGGGCUCGGUCCGCCUGGAAAGCGUGAGCUCUCAUUACCGGCAGGCUUCAGGCAAGCGGAGGAAGCCAGCGGGGGGUGGGGGUGGGGGUGCUGAUGCAGGCUGAGGUUCCCGGGAGUUCCCUCCCAGCUCCGAGAUUCGGGGGCUUCGGCUGCGAGCCAGCCCUCCCACUCCCACCCACGAAACCGGAGGGGGCUGUCUGCAGCCCCGAGAGUAGGCUCUGAGAACGCCUUCAGACACCAGACAAAAGUAAUGGGGGGGCUUUCAGGCACAGGACCGGUCGCUCUGGGAAAGGUGGGGGUUUCUGGGGUGCGGGGGGGGGAGGGAGAGGGCUCAUUCCCAGUGCUCCCAAAAUCGGGCCGCUAAUGGAGGCUUCCGCGAACUCUGUCUCCGAGCAGGGCGGGUGUCCCCAACGGGCAGGGCAGGAGAGAGGCGCGGAGAAGCAGCCAGUGAGGACCGGGACUCGCCCCAGCCAUGGGUCUCUUAAGCGUACCGCCAAGGGGGCGAGGCUCAGCUACCCCCCGGAUCUGGUGGGACUGUGGGGGUGGGGAGCUCGGGGGGAGCCUCCAGGGCCACCUCUGGCCCCUGGCACUCCACGGGGGAGCGAUCGGGGCUCCCACUCACCGAGGGCUUGUGGUGGAAAAGCUCGGGUUGGGGGAGGGGUGCCGGGGGGCCCUGGACGCCCCAUCUUCAUCACCCUCCCCCAGCCACCCACCCACAACCCCGGGCGCCGUCCCUUCCCCCGCAGAGCUGGCCAUUUUGGAAUCUUCCACUUUUAAAAACAGAAAAACGGUGAAUGCACCGGAUUGUAUAUUUUAUUUAAAUAAAACAAAAACUUUCAGC
Molecule: long non-coding RNA, 3777 nt
Organism: Sarcophilus harrisii (Tasmanian devil)
Lineage: Eukaryota; Metazoa; Chordata; Mammalia; Dasyuromorphia; Dasyuridae
Source: Ensembl